This 346-nucleotide ribosomal RNA is filed under the name uncultured bacterium. RNAcentral describes it as "partial 16S ribosomal RNA". It matches the Rfam family "Bacterial small subunit ribosomal RNA", at positions 338 to 701 of the family's 1533-position model. The record is from RNAcentral.
CCUACGGGAGGCAGCAGUGAGGAAGAUUGGGCAAUGGAGGCAACUCUGACCCAGCCAUGCCGCGUGAGUGAAGAAGGUUUUCGGAUUGUAAAGCUCUUUCGGAGGGGACGAAGAUGACGGUAGCAUCGAAAGAAGCCACGGCUAACGUCGUGCCCGCAGCCGCGGUAAUACGAAGGGGGCAAGCGUUGGUCGGAAUGACUGGGCGUAAAGGGAGGGUAGGCGGUUUAGUUAGAUAGUGGUGAAAUCCCAGAGCUUUACUUUGGAAUUGCCAUUAUAACUAUUAGACUAGACUUACCGAGAGGCUAGUGGACUCCCCCGUGUAGCGGUUAACUUCGUAGAUCUUGGG